This 288-nucleotide ribosomal RNA is filed under the name Triticum aestivum (bread wheat). Its description in RNAcentral is "partial small subunit ribosomal RNA". Lineage: Eukaryota; Viridiplantae; Streptophyta; Magnoliopsida; Poales; Poaceae. The record is from RNAcentral.
GGGUGCAACUGAUUAAUCAUCAACUCAGAUAAUAUGGAUGUGAUUGAGAUCAUGCAGGACGGAGGACAAUCAACGGGUGCGGUGGAGGCAAUUUUCGAUGACUGCUUUCACUAUGCAUGUGAUUUUAUCAUGACUAGAUUCGAACACUGUUAUAGAGAGGCAAAUAAAGUAGCGCAUGAACUUGCUAGAUUAGCUAGAUUUUCUCCAACUUUGGUUUGGUUUGAGGAGCCUCUAAAUGAAAUUGUAAUGAUCCUCACAAACGAUGUACUGAUAAUUUCUAAUGAAUAA